RNAcentral lists this ribosomal RNA (492 nucleotides) under uncultured bacterium. Its description in RNAcentral is "partial 16S ribosomal RNA". It matches the Rfam family "Bacterial small subunit ribosomal RNA", at positions 29 to 507 of the family's 1533-position model. The record is from RNAcentral.
AGUGAACGCUGGCGGUAGGCCUAACACAUGCCAGUCGAACGGCAGCACACUACGAGCUUGCUCUUACGGGUGGCGAGUGGCGGACGGGUGAGGAAUACAUCGGGCUCUACUUUUUCGUGGGGGAUAACGUAGGUAAACUUACGCUAAUACCGCAUACGCCCUACGGGUGUAAGCAGGGGAUCUUCGCACCUUGCGCGAUUGAAUGAGCCGAUGUCGGAUUAGCUAGUUGGCGGGGUAAAGGCCCACCAAGGCGACGAUCCGUAGCUGGUGGGGGAGGAUGAUAGCCCGCACUGGAGCGGGGACGCGGUCAAGAGUCCUAAGGGAGGGAGCAGACGGGAACAGUGGACAACAGGCGCAAGCCUGACCCAGCCAUACCGCGCGGGAGGCGACGGCGCUCGGGUUGUAAUGCCCGUUUGUUGGGAAAGAAAAGCAGCAGGUUAAUACGCAGCUGGUCUGACGGUACCCAAAGAAUAAGCACCGGCUAACUUCGUG